ACAGUGUUCAGCAGGUCCUGUUGGAGAUGAUAUGUUCCAUUGGCAAGCUACAAUAAUGGGGCCAGUAAGUAUUCAGAUUAAUUUCAGAAUAAACAGUUUAUGUAAUUUACUCAUUUUAAUCCCACUUUUCUUGUUAUCAACAGAAUGACAGUCCCUAUCAGGGUGGAGUAUUUUUCUUGACAAUUCAUUUCCCAACAGAUUACCCCUUCAAACCACCUAAGGUUGCAUUUACAACAAGAAUUUAUCAUCCAAAUAUUAACAGUAAUGGCAGCAUUUGUCUUGAUAUUCUACGGUCACAGUGGUCUCCAGCACUAACUAUUUCAAAAGUACUCUUGUCCAUCUGUUCUCUGUUGUGUGAUCCCAAUCCAGAUGAUCCUUUAGUGCCUGAGAUUGCUCGGAUCUACAAAACAGAUAGAGAAAAGUAAGUAUGGCCUCAAGAUGGAAAGUUAUCUGUGGUGGGAUGGAGAUGUUUGUCACAAAUCUUUCUUGUUUAAGGGCUGAAUAUCGGCCAGAUAUUUAAAGUGAAGUCCUAAUAUACUCUCCUGGGGCUAGAAAAGAGAAAUAUAUGCAUUGAGUAUUAUUAUAAGUAGAUGAUGCCAGUCUUAUCCCUGAUUGUUUCACG
This 622-nucleotide small RNA is filed under the name Pan troglodytes (chimpanzee). Its description in RNAcentral is "retained intron". The record is from RNAcentral. Lineage: Eukaryota; Metazoa; Chordata; Mammalia; Primates; Hominidae.